Long non-coding RNA from Ctenopharyngodon idella (grass carp), 1024 nucleotides. RefSeq lists it as uncharacterized. The record is from RefSeq and is a predicted model, not a curated record. NCBI's taxonomy places the organism in Eukaryota, Metazoa, Chordata, Actinopteri, Cypriniformes, Xenocyprididae. The transcript is spliced from 4 exons.
UGGGUGGAUAUCAGUUGUUGAGUCUCAGCCAGUUCCCAAACAGUUGCAAUGGACUGCUCCAUUGAGGAAGACGAAACUCCAAUGGAAGCUGCAAGUGAAGACAUUGAAGACAAACAACAAGCAUUUACACAGUCUGUUGAGUCAUAUCAAAAGGAAGAAGUUGCCAAAUUACAAGAGAUAACCAGAGUAGCUGAGUGAGCUGUCAAGAACGCUGCUGUUCCAUUUGCAGAAUCACUGGACUUCAGUCAGGACCACUUUGGCAAUAAAACAUAUUUAUUGUUAUUAAUAUACAACAUUUGGUUUGGCGUUAUGGUUCUGUAUGGGGGUUCAACUUUACAAUAAUAAAGAUUAGCUGGGCCUGUAAUAACCCCCUGGAACCAUUAGCAUAACAUUGAAACAAUUACUGUACAAAUAAUGCAAUGAAAGAUAUGAAUGGAGAUGGAGAAUGAGACAACAUUCAAGGGCUGCUUGGAAGGCUUAUCUUGAUGCAGUGAUCUGAAACAGAGAGAGAAGAAAAACAACGAACAGCAAAAGUGCAGAACAUACAGCUGGAAGUGCAUAAUGUGGCCCAAAUCUGUUUUUUUUUUUUUUUUUUUGGCCUACAUGUGACUCAUAUCUAUUUUCCCCAUGAGAGUGUGAACAGUAUACAAACCACAUGGAAUCUGAUCUUUUCAAUUCCGAUUUGUGCCACUUCCAUAUGUGGUACUAAAUCCGAUACAGGUCAGGGGCCGUAUUCACAAAACAUUUUAUCUUACCACUAAGAGUUCUCCUAAAUGGCAGUAAAAGUUCUUAGCUAAGAGUUUUCUCUUAAAACCUAUUCACAAAGCUGCUGAGACCAACUUUUACUAAGGAAUAGAGAGAAAUCUUAAGCUAAGAGAAAGUGCAGGGUUGAUCUCGUUACUAUGGUCUAUGCCCACAGUGAUUGGUUGAUGGGGGAAGAGUCUCUGUCAGCGAUUUAAUCAUAUAAAUAUUGUAGAAUGAUGUAUCAUGUUGCCAUAUACAAAUAAAGGUUUUAAAAUAAAAA